GACGAACGCUGGCGGCGUGCCUAAUACAUGCAAGUCGAACGCACUUUCGUUAGAUUGAAGAAGCUUGCUUCUGAUUGAUAACAUUUGAGUGAGUGGCGGACGGGUGAGUAACACGUGGGUAACCUGCCCUAAAGUGGGGGAUAACAUUUGGAAACAGAUGCUAAUACCGCAUAAAACCUAGCACCGCAUGGUGCAAGGUUGAAAGAUGGUUUCGACUAUCACUUUAGGAUGGACCCGCGGUGCAUUAGUUAGUUGGUGAGGUAAAGACUCACCAAGACCGUGAUGCAUAGCCGACCUGAGAGGGUAAUCGGCCACACUGGGACUGAGACACGGCCCAGACUCCUACGGGAGGCAGCAGUAGGGAAUCUUCCACAAUGGACGAAAGUCUGAUGGAGCAACGCCGCGUGAGUGAAGAAGGUUUUCGGAUCGUAAAACUCUGUUGUUGGAGAAGAACGUAUUUGAUAGUAACUGAUCAGGUAGUGACGGUAUCCAACCAGAAAGCCACGGCUAACUACGUG
RNAcentral lists this ribosomal RNA (518 nucleotides) under Latilactobacillus curvatus. RNAcentral's name for it is "bacterial SSU rRNA". It matches the Rfam family "Bacterial small subunit ribosomal RNA", at positions 28 to 507 of the family's 1533-position model. Lineage: Bacteria; Bacillati; Bacillota; Bacilli; Lactobacillales; Lactobacillaceae. The record is from RNAcentral.